This is a long non-coding RNA of Helianthus annuus (common sunflower), 593 nucleotides long. RefSeq lists it as uncharacterized. NCBI's taxonomy places the organism in Eukaryota, Viridiplantae, Streptophyta, Magnoliopsida, Asterales, Asteraceae. The record is from RefSeq and is a predicted model, not a curated record. The transcript has 3 exons.
UGUGUUUUUUUGGUUUCGGUAUUUCAUAUUAACCAUUUAUGUGUUGCUUGCUUGAGGUUUUUGGUUUCUUAUUCUCAGUGGUGAUGAUGUCGAGAAGUAGGAGAGAAUUUGUGAUGGAUUGAUUCGUAUAUUUGAUCUAUGGUUUUUGCGAAAGAUAUGGUGAGAUUGUUGAUGUGAACCUGGUUAGAGAUAAAGGCACAGGAAAAUCGAAAGUGGUUUGAUUUCAUUUCUCUAGGGUUCUUAAUUAAUAUUAUUCAUGGUUUAACUUUUUUUUAUUUAAAUUGUGCUGAACGUGCUCGAAUUGCUCUUAACAAGAUUCCAGGUAUAUAUGUUCGUCAUUGCUAUUUGCCUGAUGGUUCCAUUCAGGCAGGACAUCUUACAUUUCCAGGCUAACAAGAGAUCUGGGCACUCCAAAUAAGUGAGACAGGCAAGAGUAUGUAAGACAUCCGCAAACAUCUUUUUCCGUACCUUAUUUAUGUAUUAUUUUUAAUUCCCACUCACCGGAUAAUAUUGCAUUUAAUUGAAGGGUGAAAGGCUCUUCUAUGCACGAGUGCAUACCAGUAAAUGCUUUAUUCUCAAAAUCAAGUUUUUUA